RNAcentral lists this ribosomal RNA (253 nucleotides) under uncultured bacterium. Its description in RNAcentral is "partial 16S ribosomal RNA". It matches the Rfam family "Bacterial small subunit ribosomal RNA", at positions 524 to 776 of the family's 1533-position model. The record is from RNAcentral.
GACAGAGGGGGCAAGCGUUGCUCGGAAUUACUGGGCGUAAAGGGCGCGUAGGCGGAAUGGCAAGUCGGUCGUGAAAUCCUUCGGCUCAACCGAAGAACGUCGAUCGAAACUGCCGUUCUUGAGGAUUGCAGAGGAGACUGGAAUUCCCGGUGUAGCGGUGAAAUGCGUAGAUAUCGAGAGGAACACCUGCGGCGAAGGCGGGUUGCUGGGCUGACACUGACGCUGAUGUGCGAAAGCUAGGGGAGCGAACGGG